This 280-nucleotide ribosomal RNA is filed under the name uncultured bacterium. Its description in RNAcentral is "partial 16S ribosomal RNA". It matches the Rfam family "Bacterial small subunit ribosomal RNA", at positions 334 to 631 of the family's 1533-position model. The record is from RNAcentral.
UAAGCCUACGGGGCGCAGCAGUGGGGAAUAUUGCACAAUGGGGGAAACCCUGAUGCAGCGACGCCGCGUGAGUGAGGAAGUAUUUCGGUAUGUAAAGCUCUAUCAGCAGGGAAGAAAAUGGCGGUACCUGACUAAGAAGCCCCGGCUAACUACGUGCCAGCAGCCGCGGUAAUACGUAGGGGGCAAGCGUUAUCCGGAUUUACUGGGGGUAAAGGGAGCGUAGACGGAGGAGUAAGUCUGAUGUGAAAAUCCGGGGCCCAACCCCGGAACGGCAUUGGAA